RNAcentral lists this small RNA (477 nucleotides) under Theobroma cacao (cacao). RNAcentral describes it as "sRNA Tc01v2_g012880". The record is from RNAcentral. Lineage: Eukaryota; Viridiplantae; Streptophyta; Magnoliopsida; Malvales; Malvaceae.
CAAAAAAUAAAAAAAAAAUAUCUGUUAUCUAGAGCAAGCUAAAAUAAGGUACAAGGAUCAGAAAAAUGACGAGGGAGUUGGUAAUUCUUGGUGGCAGUGUCCCGAGAGGGGAAGCAGGGGUCUCUGGUGGCCUGUUCUUGCUUUGCAUGAUUGUUUUCUCCCUCUCAAUUAUCGCAAUGGUCAUCUUCGCUUGUGGCGAUGACAACUCUGAAAAGCCUCGCCGGAAUCAUGCUGCAGGUGGUGGCGGUGGAGGUUGUGGGGGCGGUGGCGGUUGCUGAGGAUAUCUGAAUUUAUGUGCGUCAUUGAUUAAUUUCAACAGCAACGAUUAAUAACUUUGUAGUUAUAACGUCCUGACAAACUUGUUUGUUGUAUUUGUAUUUUUUAUGAGAUUUGUUGAUAAUAUAUAGUUGCACCAUAUCCAUGUUCAUGUCUUUGUAACCAUGAUUAAAUAUAGUCAGGGGUUAAACUAUUUCAUAA